CUCUUUAGCUUGGCAUUUGAAUCGGCUUUGCUGUUGCGAAGUAGAGUGGCGGCUUCGGCUGCCGAGGGUCGAUCCAUUUGGGAAAUGUUGUGUACUUCGGUAUGCAUCUCAAUUGGACCUGAUAUCAGGCAAGAUUACCCGCUGAACUUAAGCAUAUUAAUAAGCGGAGGAAAAGAAACUAACAAGGAUUCCCCUAGUAACGGCGAGUGAAGCGGGAAGAGCUCAAGCUUAAAAUCUCCGUGCAAGUUUUGCGCGGCGAAUUGUAGUCUAUAGAGGCGUGAUCAGUGUGGGCGCUUGGGGCAAGUUCCUUGGAAGAGGACAGCAUGGAGGGUGAUACUCCCGUUCAUCCCUGAGUUGCUCGUGCGUACGAUCCGUUUUCUUUGAGUCGCGUUGUUUGGGAAUGCAGCGCAAAGUAGGUGGUAAAUUCCAUCUAAAGCUAAAUAUUGGUGCGAGACCGAUAGCGAACAAGUACCGUGAGGGAAAGAUGAAAAGAACUUUGAAAAGAGAGUUAAAGAGUACCUGAAACUGCUGAAAGGGAACCGAAUCGUUUCCAGUGUCUAUAAUCCGUGGUAUAUUUCAUUGGCGAGUGUGUGCGUGCGUGUGCUGUGGCAGCGGCUUUUUUGGCUGCGCUCGGCGUGUGUGCUGUGUGUGCUUGCUGGUGCCCUGUGCUGCGGUGGGACGUCAAGGUCAGUUCGUAUGCUGCGGGAAAUGGCCGCCGAGGAGGUAGGGCUUACGCUUGCGUUUGUCUGUUAUAUCUUGGUGGACGAGUAGUCGCGGUUGGGACUGAGGUGCCUACAACGUGUUUUUGAGUGGGCCUGUGUCUCUGUGUGCGCCGUGUGCGGAUAGCUUGCUAUGCGUGUGUGGUUGUGUGUGGAUUGAUGUGGGUUUUAACUUGUUGCCGUUCGGGACGUUGACGAAAUGGAGCGAUUUGACCCGUCUUGAAACACGGACCAAGGAGUCUAACAUGUGUGCAAGUGUUAGGGGUGUGGAAACCCCAGCGCGAAAUGAAAGUGAAGGGCAGCGUAAGUUGUCUGAGGAAGGAAAUGCUGCGGGCUU
Molecule: ribosomal RNA, 1056 nt
Organism: Phytophthora infestans T30-4
Lineage: Eukaryota; Oomycota; Peronosporomycetes; Peronosporales; Peronosporaceae
Source: RefSeq, a predicted model, not a curated record